Molecule: ribosomal RNA, 396 nt
Filed under: uncultured Leptolinea sp.
Lineage: Bacteria; Bacillati; Chloroflexota; Anaerolineae; Anaerolineales; Anaerolineaceae
Description: bacterial SSU rRNA
Rfam family: Bacterial small subunit ribosomal RNA
Source: RNAcentral
UUACCAGGGUUGACAUGCAAGUGGUAGGAAUCCGAAGGUGACCGACCCUUCGGGGAGCUUGCACAGGUGCUGCAUGGCUGUCGUCAGCUCGUGUCGUGAGAUGUUCGGUUAAGUCCGCUAACGAGCGCAACCCUCGUCGUGUGUUAUACGUGUCACACGAUACUGCCGGUAUCAAGCCGGAGGAAGGUGGGGAUGAUGUCAAGUCAGCAUGGCCUUUAUAUCCUGGGCUACACACACGCUACAAUGGCAGAUACAAUAGGUUGCGAAACCGCGAGGUGGAGCCAAUCCUCAAAGUCUGUCUCAGUUCAGAUUGUAGGCUGCAACUCGCCUGCAUGAAGUUGGAGUUGCUAGUAAACGCAGGUCAGCUAUACUGCGUUGAAUACGUUCCCGGGGUUU